AUUGAACGCUGGCGGCAUGCCUUACACAUGCAAGUCGAACGGCAGCACGGGGCAACCUGGUGGCGAGUGGCGAACGGGUGAGUAAUGCAUCGGAACGUACCUUUCAGUGGGGGAUAACGUAGCGAAAGUUACGCUAAUACCGCAUAUUCUGUGAGCAGGAAAGCAGGGGAUCGCAAGACCUUGCGCUGAUUGAGCGGCCGAUGUCAGAUUAGCUAGUUGGUGAGGUAAAGGCUCACCAAGGCGACGAUCUGUAGCGGGUCUGAGAGGAUGAUCCGCCACACUGGAACUGAGACACGGUCCAGACUCCUACGGGAGGCAGCAGUGGGGAAUUUUGGACAAUGGGGGCAACCCUGAUCCAGCCAUGCCGCGUGGGUGAAGAAGGCCUUCGGGUUGUAAAGCUCUUUCGGCCGGGAAAAAAUCGCAUGGGUUAAUACCCUGUGUGGAUGAAGGUACCGGAAUAAGAAGCACCGGCUAACUACGUGCCAGCAGCCGCAGUAA
RNAcentral lists this ribosomal RNA (498 nucleotides) under uncultured bacterium. RNAcentral describes it as "partial 16S ribosomal RNA". It matches the Rfam family "Bacterial small subunit ribosomal RNA", at positions 30 to 523 of the family's 1533-position model. The record is from RNAcentral.